GACUCUAUAGUCAAUGUUAAUGAUAUUAGAUUGCAAGUCUGAAGUAGUAAAAAUACUAGAGUUU
Molecule: transfer RNA, 64 nt
Filed under: Macropes robustus
Lineage: Eukaryota; Metazoa; Arthropoda; Insecta; Hemiptera; Blissidae
Also listed under: 3 other names
Description: tRNA-Cys
Source: RNAcentral